Molecule: non-coding RNA, 70 nt
Organism: Dipodomys ordii (Ord's kangaroo rat)
Lineage: Eukaryota; Metazoa; Chordata; Mammalia; Rodentia; Heteromyidae
Source: Rfam
GGCAAUAUGGCUUAGUGGUAGAGUGCUUGCCCAGCAUGCAUGAAGGCCUGGGUUCGAUUCCUUAGUACCA